UACGUAGGGCGCAAGCGUUGUCCGGAAUUAUUGGGCGUAAAGAGCUCGUAGGCGGCUUGUCACGUCGGUUGUGAAAGCCCGGGGGCUCAACCUCGGGCCUGCAGUGGGUACGGGCAGACUAGAGUGCGGUAGGGGAGAUUGGAAUUCCUGGUGUAGCGGUGGAAUGCGCAGAUAUCAGGAGGAACACCGAUGGCGAAGGCAGAUCUCUGGGCCGUAACUGACGCUGGAGGAGCGAAAGCAUGGGGAGCGAACAGG
RNAcentral lists this ribosomal RNA (255 nucleotides) under uncultured bacterium. RNAcentral describes it as "partial 16S ribosomal RNA". It matches the Rfam family "Bacterial small subunit ribosomal RNA", at positions 524 to 776 of the family's 1533-position model. The record is from RNAcentral.